This is a non-coding RNA of Caenorhabditis elegans, 185 nucleotides long. The record is from Ensembl. Lineage: Eukaryota; Metazoa; Nematoda; Chromadorea; Rhabditida; Rhabditidae.
AGACACCUAAUCAUCGCUUGGUGUACUUUUUUGGAGAGAAGAAAGAAAAAGAAAGUGGUCGGUUUAUGGUUUGGAACGGCGGGCGCAAUGGGCAAAAAUCUGUCCGUUGAAAAAGCUGAUUAGCCACUGUCACCUGAAGCCGAAAAAGAACCGCUUCUUUUGUAAGAAGAAAAGAUAUAAGGCGA